CGAAGCGUGCGAUUGGAUUGCACGUCUAAGCAGUAAGGCUGAGUAUUAGGCAAAUCCGGUACUCGUUAAGGCUGAGCUGUGAUGGGGAGAAGACAUUGUGUCUUCGAGUCGUUGAUUUCACACUGCCGAGAAAAGCCUCUAGAUAGAAAAUAGGUGCCCGUACCGCAAACCGACACAGGUAGUCAAGAUGAGAAUUCUAAGGUGAGCGAGCGAACUCUCGUUAAGGAACUCGGCAAAAUGACCCCGUAACUUCGGGAGAAGGGGUGCUCUUUAGGGUUAACGCCCAGAAGAGCCGCAGUGAAUAGGCCCAAGCGACUGUUUAUCAAAAACACAGGUCUCUGCUAAACCGUAAGGUGAUGUAUAGGGGCUGACGCCUGCCCGGUGCUGGAAGGUUAAGAGGAGUGGUUAGCUUCUGCGAAGCUACGAAUCGAAGCCCCAGUAAACGGCGGCCGUAACUAUAACGGUCCUAAGGUAGCGAAAUUCCUUGUCGGGUAAGUUCCGACCCGCACGAAAGGCGUAACGAUUUGGGCACUGUCUCAACGAGAGACUCGGUGAAAUCAUAGUACCUGUGAAGAUGCAGGUUACCCGCGACAGGACGGAAAGACCCCGUGGAGCUUUACUGUAGCCUGAUAUUGAAAUUCGGCACAGCUUGUACAGGAUAGGUAGGAGCCUUUGAAACGUGAGCGCUAGCUUACGUGGAGGCGCUGGUGGGAUACUACCCUAGCUGUGUUGGCUUUCUAACCCGCACCACUUAUCGUGGUGGGAGACAGUGUCAGGCGGGCAGUUUGACUGGGGCGGUCGCCUCCUAAAAGGUAACGGAGGCGCUCAAAGGUUCCCUCAGAAUGGUUGGAAAUCAUUCAUAGAGUGUAAAGGCAUAAGGGAGCUUGACUGCGAGACCUACAAGUCGAGCAGGGUCGAAAGACGGACUUAGUGAUCCGGUGGUUCCGCAUGGAAGGGCCAUCGCUCAACGGAUAAAAGCUACCCCGGGGAUAACAGGCUUAUCUCCCCCAAGAGUUCACAUCGACGGGGAGGUUUGGCACCUCGAUGUCGGCUCAUCGCAUCCUGGGGCUGUAGUCGGUCCCAAGGGUUGGGCUGUUCGCCCAUUAAAGCGGUACGCGAGCUGGGUUCAGAACGUCGUGAGACAGUUCGGUCCCUAUCCGUCGUGGGCGUAGGAAAUUUGAGAGGAGCUGUCCUUAGUACGAGAGGACCGGGAUGGACAUACCUCUGGUGUACCAGUUGUCGUGCCAACGGCAUAGCUGGGUAGCUAUGUGUGGACGGGAUAAGUGCUGAAAGCAUCUAAGCAUGAAGCCCCCCUCAAGAUGAGAUUUCCCAACUUCGGUUAUAAGAUCCCUCAAAGAUGAUGAGGUUAAUAGGUUCGAGGUGGAAGCAUGGUGACAUGUGGAGCU
RNAcentral lists this ribosomal RNA (1406 nucleotides) under Staphylococcus aureus. Its description in RNAcentral is "partial 23S ribosomal RNA". It matches the Rfam family "Bacterial large subunit ribosomal RNA", at positions 1487 to 2892 of the family's 2925-position model. Lineage: Bacteria; Bacillati; Bacillota; Bacilli; Caryophanales; Staphylococcaceae. The record is from RNAcentral.